GAUGAAGAACGUAGCGAAAUGCGAUAACUAGUGUGAAUUGCAGAUUUUAGUGAAUCAUCGAAUCUUUGAACGCACAUUGCGCCCGCCAGUAUUCUGGCGGGCAUGCCUGUUCGAGCGUCAUUUCAACCAUCAAGCCCCAGGCUUGUGUUGGGGACCUGCGGCUGCCGCAGGCCCUGAAAACCAGUGGCGGGCUCGCUGUCACACCGGGCGUAGUAGAUUUUAUCUCGCUCAGGGCGUGCUGCGGGUUCCGGCCGUUAAAAAGCCUUUUUUACCCAAGGUUGACCUCGGAUCAGGUAGGAAGACCCGCUGAACUUAAGCAUAUCAAUAAGCGGAGGA
RNAcentral lists this unclassified non-coding RNA (336 nucleotides) under soil metagenome. Its description in RNAcentral is "partial contains 5.8S ribosomal RNA, internal transcribed spacer 2, and large subunit ribosomal RNA". The stretch from base 1 to 120 matches the Rfam family "5.8S ribosomal RNA", at positions 35 to 154 of the family's 154-position model. The record is from RNAcentral.